UACGUAGGUGGCAAGCGUUGUCCGGAUUUACUGGGUGUAAAGGGCGUGUAGGCGGGGUGUUAAGUUAGAUGUGAAAUGCCCGGGCUUAACCCGGGAGCUGCAUUUAAAACUGAUACUCUUGAGUGCAGGAGAGGAAAGCGGAAUUCCUAGUGUAGCGGUGAAAUGCGUAGAUAUUAGGAGGAACACCAGUGGCGAAGGCGGCUUUCUGGACUGUAACUGACGCUGAGGCGCGAAAGCGUGGGGAGCAAAC
Molecule: ribosomal RNA, 250 nt
Filed under: uncultured prokaryote
Description: partial 16S ribosomal RNA
Rfam family: Bacterial small subunit ribosomal RNA
Source: RNAcentral